Molecule: long non-coding RNA, 221 nt
Organism: Haliotis rubra (blacklip abalone)
Lineage: Eukaryota; Metazoa; Mollusca; Gastropoda; Lepetellida; Haliotidae
Exons: 3
Source: RefSeq, a predicted model, not a curated record
UACUUUCAAGCAUUCGAGCAGUAAGCAGCCCCACACUACAGUAAAGGUUUUAAAAGGUAUCUGGAUACCAGCUCACCUCUGUAUAUUUCCACGAUCCUUACAGGACUGUAUGGUAUGAGGGACUGCUGGAUCUGGCAAACCUAGGUCCACACACCUGGGUUUAUGUAUAAGGAGGAUAUGAUGGAUUCGUCCCAGUGUAAUAAAGAUGCCGUCAACUCACA